Molecule: ribosomal RNA, 253 nt
Filed under: uncultured bacterium
Lineage: Bacteria
Description: partial 16S ribosomal RNA
Rfam family: Bacterial small subunit ribosomal RNA
Source: RNAcentral
UACGUAGGGUGCGAGCGUUAAUCGGAAUUACUGGGCGUAAAGCGUGCGCAGGCGGUUUUGUAAGCCAGAUGUGAAAUCCCCGGGCUUAACCUGGGAAUGGCAUUUGGGACUGCAAGGCUGGAGUGUGGCAGAGGAGACUGGAAUUCCUGGUGUAGCAGUGAAAUGCGUAGAUAUCAGGAGGAAUACCGAUGGCGAAGGCAGGUCUCUGGGCCAAUACUGACGCUCAUGCACGAAAGCGUGGGGAGCAAACAGG